AGUGAACGCUGGCGGUAGGCCUAACACAUGCAAGUCGAACGGCAGCACAGUAAGAGCUUGCUCUUACGGGUGGCGAGUGGCGGACGGGUGAGGAAUACAUCGGAAUCUACUUUUUCGUGGGGGAUCACGUAGGGAAACUUACGCUAAUACCGCAUACGACCUACGGGUGAAAGCAGGGGAUCUUCGGACCUUGCGCGAUUGAAUGAGCCGAUGUCGGAUUAGCUAGUUGGCGGGGUAAAGGCCCACCCAGGCGACGAUCCGUAGCUGGUCUGAGAGGAUGGUCAGCCACACUGGAACGGAGACACGGUCCAGACUCCUACGGGAGGCAGCAGUGGGGAAUAUUGGACAGUGGGCGCAAGCCUGAUCCAGCCAUACCGCGUGGGUGAAGAAGGCCUUCGGGUUGUAAAGCCCUUUUGUUGGGAAAGAAAAGCAGCAGGUUAAUACCCCGCUGUUCUGACGGUAACCAAAGAAUAAGCACCGGCUAACUUCGUG
RNAcentral lists this ribosomal RNA (492 nucleotides) under uncultured bacterium. RNAcentral describes it as "partial 16S ribosomal RNA". It matches the Rfam family "Bacterial small subunit ribosomal RNA", at positions 29 to 507 of the family's 1533-position model. The record is from RNAcentral.